CUCUGCGGCGGAACGUGGAGGGGACAUCUUCGGAUGUGCUGGUCUUUUGGGUAUCAGUCUGUCAACCCCUUUUCGUUUCGCCACCAUU
Acinetobacter sp. 39-4 is the source of this 88-nucleotide non-coding RNA. The record is from Rfam. NCBI's taxonomy places the organism in Bacteria, Pseudomonadati, Pseudomonadota, Gammaproteobacteria, Moraxellales, Moraxellaceae.